GACGAACGCUGGCGGCGUGCUUAACACAUGCAAGUCGAGCGGUAAGGCCCUUUCGGGGGUACACGAGCGGCGAACGGGUGAGUAACACGUGGGUGACCUGCCCUCAGCUCUGGGAUAAGCCUGGGAAACCGGGUCUAAUACCGGAUAUGACUCCAUGACGCAUGUUGUGGGGUGGAAAGCCUUGUGCGGCUGAGGAUGGGCCCGCGGCCUAUCAGCUUGUUGGUGGGGUGAUGGCCUACCAAGGCGACGACGGGUAGCCGGCCUGAGGGGGCGACCGGCCACACUGGGACUGAGACACGGCCCAGACUCCUACGGGAGGCAGCAGGUGGGGAAUCUUGCGCAAUGGGCGAAAGCCUGACGCAGCGACGCCGCGUGAGGGAUGAC
This 384-nucleotide ribosomal RNA is filed under the name uncultured bacterium. Its description in RNAcentral is "bacterial SSU rRNA". It matches the Rfam family "Bacterial small subunit ribosomal RNA", at positions 28 to 412 of the family's 1533-position model. The record is from RNAcentral.